UUUAUUCAAGGUAUAAUAUUCCAAGGGGACAAAACACUAUUCAAGUUUGAAUUUAUACAAAGAUAAGAUUCUCCAACAAACUCUAUCCAAGAAAAGUACUAUUCAAGAUAAGAUCAAAGACAAAACUUGGAUUUAUGUGAGAAAUCAAGGAGUCAUCCAUUGAAGAUCCAAGGGUGGACAUUGAGUGGCCAAGGCUAUAAAUAGAAGGGUAAACCCCUCAUUUUCACUCACCACACUACAAGCAAACUCAAGAGCUUUCACUCCACACUUGCCCACACGUUUUUGCCUCCAAGCUUCCAAGCUUUCAAGUGCUCAAGUGUCCUAGCUUCCCAAAGCUUCAAAAGCUCUCCAACUUCUUCUUCUAAUCUUAUUGUUCAUCUUUACAAGUAAGAAGUGUUGUUUGUUUUAAUAUUCCACUCCUCUAAUCACCUCUUGUGUGUGUCCACUUUGGUUGAGAGGGUUGUCUCAAUAGUACCAAAGUGUGAGAGAAGGUUUUUGAGCUCAACCAUAAAGCUCUAGUUCGGUUUUAUAGAGUUUCCAGGAAAACUCUUAGGUCGAGUCUACCUUUAAAGAUUUCAGAGGUUUUUAAGAGUUCCUUGAUACUCUAAUGUACUAACUUACCCGUAAAAGUUAAAGGUUCUUAAGAGUGCCCUUGAUACUCUAAGGUGUGAGUCUACCCGUAAAAGACUGGUUCCUAAGCGAAGUAGCCUUAAAGCUUAGAGAGGUUUUUAAGAGUUCCUUGAUACUCUAAGGUACUAACUUACCCGCAAAAGUUAGAGGUUCUUAAGAGUGCCCUUGAUACUCUAAGGUGUGAGUCUACCCGUAAAAGACUGGUUCCUAAGCGAAGUAGCCUUAAAGCUUAGAGAGGUUCUCAAGAGUUUCCUUGAUACUCUAAGGUUUUGCCAUAACCUUUAGGCGAGUGAAUUCCGGCAGUUGGUCGGGACUGGACUAGCCCUUGUUUGGGUGAACCAGUAUAAAUCUCUUGUGUUGUUCUCUGUUAAUUAUAGUUUUAUCUUUUAUC
This 1021-nucleotide long non-coding RNA is filed under the name Zostera marina. RNAcentral describes it as "long non-coding RNA (ZMAR_LNC001165)". The record is from RNAcentral. Lineage: Eukaryota; Viridiplantae; Streptophyta; Magnoliopsida; Alismatales; Zosteraceae.